UGGGGAAUAUUGCACAAUGGAGGGAACUCUGAUGCAGCGACGCCGCGUGUGUGAUGAAGGAAUUCGUUUCGUAAAACUCUGUUCUAUGGGAAGAAAAGGACUGUACCAUAGGAGAAAGCUCCGGCUAAAUACGUGCCAGCAGCCGCGGUAAUACGUAUGGAGCGAGCGUUGUCCGGAAUUAUUGGGCGUAAAGGGUGCGCAGGCGGCUUUACAAGUUGGAUGUGAAAUAUUGUGGCUCAACCACAAACGUGCAUCCAAAACUGGAAAGCUUGAGUUAAGGAGAGGUAAGUGGAAUUCCUGGGGUAGCGGUGGAAUGCGUAGAUAUCAGGAGGAAUACCGGUGGCGAAGGCGACUUACUGGACUGAAACUGACGCUCAGGCAAGAAAGCGUGGGGAGAAAAAAGG
Molecule: ribosomal RNA, 404 nt
Filed under: Fusobacteriota bacterium
Lineage: Bacteria; Fusobacteriati; Fusobacteriota
Description: Fusobacteria bacterium partial 16S ribosomal RNA
Rfam family: Bacterial small subunit ribosomal RNA
Source: RNAcentral